This 494-nucleotide ribosomal RNA is filed under the name uncultured bacterium. RNAcentral describes it as "partial 16S ribosomal RNA". It matches the Rfam family "Bacterial small subunit ribosomal RNA", at positions 28 to 507 of the family's 1533-position model. The record is from RNAcentral.
GACGAACGCUGGCGGCGCGCUUAACACAUGCAAGUCGAACGGAAAGGCCUGCUUUCCCUUGUGGAUUGCGGGUACUCGAGUGGCGAACGGGUGAGUAACACGUGAGUGAUCUGCCCCCAACUUGGGUAUAAGCCUGGGAAACUGGGUCUAAUUCCCGAUAGGACUGCAGGGUGGUGCCUGUGGUGGAAAACGAUUUUCUAGUGGUUGGGGAUGAGCUCGCGGCCUAUCAGCUUGUUGGUGGGGUAAUGGCCUACCAAGGCGGCGACGGGUAGCCGGCCUGAGAGGGUGGACGGCCACAUUGGGACUGAGAUACGGCCCAGACUCCUACGGGAGGCAGCAGUGGGGAAUAUUGCACGAUGGGCGGAAGCCUGAUGCAGCGACGCCGCGUGGGGGAUGACGGCCUUCGGGUUGUAAACUCCUUUCGACCGCGAGGAAGCCACCUGGUUGGAAGGGUGGUGACGGUAGUGGUAGAAGAAGCACCGGCUAACUACGUG